GACGAACGCUGGCGGCGUGCUUAACACAUGCAAGUCGAACGGAAAGGCCCUGCUUGCAGGGUACUCGAGUGGCGAACGGGUGAGUAACACGUGGGUGAUCUGCCCUGCACUUCGGGAUAAGCCUGGGAAACUGGGUCUAAUACCGGAUAGGAGCCAUUUUUAGUGUGAUGGUUGGAAAGUUUUUUCGGUGUAGGAUGAGCUCGCGGCCUAUCAGCUUGUUGGUGGGGUAAUGGCCUACCAAGGCGGCGACGGGUAGCCGGCCUGAGAGGGUGGACGGCCACAUUGGGACUGAGAUACGGCCCAGACUCCUACGGGGGGCAGCAGUGGGGAAGAUUGCACAAUGGGCGCAAGCCUGAUGCAGCGACGCCGCGUGGGGGAUGACGGCCUUCGGGUUGGAAACUCCUUUCGCUAGGGACGAAGCUUUUUGUGACGGUACCUAGAUAAGAAGCACCGGCUAACUACGUG
RNAcentral lists this ribosomal RNA (465 nucleotides) under uncultured bacterium. RNAcentral's name for it is "partial 16S ribosomal RNA". It matches the Rfam family "Bacterial small subunit ribosomal RNA", at positions 28 to 507 of the family's 1533-position model. The record is from RNAcentral.